GACACUUUGGCCGAGUGGUUAAGGCGCAGGCCUGCUAUCCAUCAGAUUUCUGAGGAGGUCAGCCUGUGGGUUCGCCCGCCUGGGUUCGAGUCCCAGAGGUGUCG
This 104-nucleotide transfer RNA is filed under the name Aspergillus ellipticus CBS 707.79. It matches the Rfam family "tRNA". From Rfam's summary of the family: Transfer RNA (tRNA) molecules are approximately 80 nucleotides in length. Their secondary structure includes four short double-helical elements and three loops (D, anti-codon, and T loops). Lineage: Eukaryota; Fungi; Ascomycota; Eurotiomycetes; Eurotiales; Aspergillaceae. The record is from Rfam by way of RNAcentral.